UAAGUCAGUUCUGGACCCUACAUGC
This 25-nucleotide non-coding RNA is filed under the name Rattus norvegicus (Norway rat). The record is from RNAcentral. Lineage: Eukaryota; Metazoa; Chordata; Mammalia; Rodentia; Muridae.